RNAcentral lists this non-coding RNA (24 nucleotides) under Arabidopsis thaliana (thale cress). The record is from RNAcentral. Lineage: Eukaryota; Viridiplantae; Streptophyta; Magnoliopsida; Brassicales; Brassicaceae.
CGUCGCGAGAAGUCCACUAAACCU